RNAcentral lists this ribosomal RNA (339 nucleotides) under uncultured Pseudomonadota bacterium. RNAcentral describes it as "bacterial SSU rRNA". It matches the Rfam family "Bacterial small subunit ribosomal RNA", at positions 29 to 351 of the family's 1533-position model. Lineage: Bacteria; Pseudomonadati; Pseudomonadota. The record is from RNAcentral.
AACUAACGCUGGCGGCGUGCCUAACACAUGCAAGUCGCACGAGAAAGUUGGCUUCGGCCGAUGAGUACAGUGGCGCACGGGUGAGUAACGCGUGGAUAAUCUGCCCUUUAGUUGGGAAUAACGUACCGAAAGGUGCGCUAAUACCGAAUAAUACUGCAUAACUACUGUUGUGUAGUCAAAGAAGGCCUCUGUUUACAAGCUUUUGCUGAAGGAUGAGUCCGCGUACCAUUAGCUAGUUGGUAGGGUAAUGGCCUACCAAGGCGACGAUGGUUAGCUGGUCUGAGAGGAUGAUCAGCCACACUGGAACUGAGACACGGUCCAGACUCCUACGGGAGGCAG